AUACGGAGGAUGCAGGCGUUAUCCGGAUUUAUUAGGUUUAAAGGGUGCGUAGGCGGCCCGGUAAGUCAGCGUUGAAAGUCUGCGGCUCAACCGUAGAACUGGCAUUGAUACUGUCGGGCUUGGAUGUGGCGGAAGUAGGCGGAAUGUGCAGUGUAGCGGUGAAAUGCUUAGAUAUUGUACAGAACACCGAUUGCGAAAGCAGCCUACUACACCAUUAUUGACGCUGAGGCACGAAAGCGUGGGGAUCGAACAGGAUUAGAUACCCUGGUAGUCCACGCAGUAAACGAUGAUUACUGGUUGUUCGCGAUAGACAGUGAGCGACUGAGCGAAAGCAUUAAGUAAUCCACCUGGGGAGUACGUUCGCAAGAAUGAAACUCAAAGGAAUUGACGGGG
Molecule: ribosomal RNA, 393 nt
Filed under: uncultured bacterium
Lineage: Bacteria
Description: partial 16S ribosomal RNA
Rfam family: Bacterial small subunit ribosomal RNA
Source: RNAcentral